UACGUAGGGAGCGAGCGUUGUCCGGAAUUACUGGGUGUAAAGGGAGCGUAGGCGGGGAUGCAAGUUGGGUGUCAAAACUACCGGCUCAACUGGUAGUCGCACUCAAAACUGCAGCUCUUGAGUGAAGUAGAGGCAGGCGGAAUUCCUAGUGUAGCGGUGAAAUGCGUAGAUAUUAGGAGGAACACCAGUGGCGAAGGCGGCCUGCUGGGCUUUUACUGACGCUGAGGCGCGAAAGCGUGGGGAGCAAACAGG
RNAcentral lists this ribosomal RNA (252 nucleotides) under uncultured bacterium. RNAcentral describes it as "partial 16S ribosomal RNA". It matches the Rfam family "Bacterial small subunit ribosomal RNA", at positions 524 to 776 of the family's 1533-position model. The record is from RNAcentral.